RNAcentral lists this long non-coding RNA (1865 nucleotides) under Homo sapiens (human). RNAcentral describes it as "HSALNT0108164". The record is from RNAcentral. Lineage: Eukaryota; Metazoa; Chordata; Mammalia; Primates; Hominidae.
GGACCUCUAUAGCAAAAAGUCUCAAAUGAUUUUAGUGAGAUGAUCACUCUGGGGGACAAAAGUCCCAAAGGACUGCCUGCUUUUGGGCUUUUGAUUCUGCUUAUAAUUCUCAUCUGAAAUAAUUAGACUAGGCUUUUUAUGAACUGCCAGGGAGAUGGGUGACAAACUUGAUUAUUUCAAGCUGAGCAAUGAUUCAUGUGACAAAGAAAACUAUAAUGAUGGUACAAACAUGAACCCUGCAAUAGACCAAUUAACGUUCCUUGGACACCUGUGGGGCUCAUGGUUAGCCAAGAGUGCUUCUGGAGCAUCCCCAUGGUUGACACCAAACAAAAUGGACUGAAGUGUGGAGCUUCAGCCAUGGCAAGUGAUGAAGAGUAGAUAUGGCCUUAAUAAUUGCACCUUAGAUUUCCCUGACAUAGGGUCAGAACCUUUAUUGCUGAGAUAGGUGACAAGCUCAUUAUGCAUAAUGAACAUGUAGGAAUCAAGGCCUCAAAGCAUUAUGCCCAUGUGGGAUUUUGAAUAAAACUAAUGCCAUUGCACUUAACAUGAGUAUAUUCAAUUAAAUCGUAAAGAGUUUGAUGAGGUAAGAUAGAGAACAAACAAAAUGGGGGAAAACACACCCUAAAUGUUAUUUAAAAAUAAAUAGUUGUAAAAUACACCCAAUACAACCUGAAUUUAAAGACAUUAAUGUGCUGAAAAACAUUUAUCUCCAAAAUGUACUUUGCAUAACACAAUACAAUAAAAAGUUGUAAAAUAGCCAGCAUCUUUACUUACACCCAGAAGCUUAGUAUGGUCACACAAUACACACACUUCUGAUAAACUUAAAUCUUAUUUACCCCCUCAUUUAGUGAAGCCUCCCACUUUAUUAGUAUUCACUUUUGACAAAUUCAUGAAGCAAGUAGCUAACUCCUCCAGUUGUACCACAUCACUCACUAUUGGAUCUGAACACGCAAUUUUUUUUCCAUUUAGAUUUUCUUAGACUUAGCUUUGGUCUUAUAAGCUUGUCUUAUCUUUCAGACAAAUUUUUGCUGUGCUGGGUCUACUUGUCCGAAUAAGUUUUCUCUGUGUUCACUUGGUUCUUCAUUCAAUUUAACCAAAUUGAUCAGUUACUCUAGCAUUAUUUUGUUGAGUAAAACGUUUGGAUUAUAGCUCCAAGUAUGCCACACAAUAAAAAUGAUGACACUCAUCUGUCCUAUUGCCUGAGACUUUUAGUAGUUGAAUAAAUUUAAGAUAAUUAAUGCUAUCUUAACCAGCCAACUAAUAAAUGAACACAAUUCAAUGGACUAAGUCACUUUGAAUUACAUAGGCAUACAAGAUACAAAUUCAAUUAUCUUCUGCAUCUCCUCCUCUUCAAAGCCUGCAUAUAAUCUUUGUGAGCAGAGAUGGUACAAAAGGGGGAUGGUACAAAAAUGUGUCAACACUCAAGUAUUAAGAAAUAACGCUGGGAAACUGCGACAGUAAACACUUGUGUGUCUUCAGAAGGUGGAUACAGACAAGUAUGAAAAAUAAUUUAAGAACAAGAGCAAUGGACAAAUCUGCAAAGCUUUUUUGAGUAUUCAUUAAAACAACGUCAGCAAAACACUUAACAGAAAUUCUCAAUCCCAGUGUAUUAUUAGUGUUAUGAAAAUAAAAACGGUACUUAAAAAAAACAGUGUUUCUAAUUGUACUUUUGUAAAUAGUGAUGUAUUCUAGAAAAAUAUAAACGUUAUACAAAUAUAACUGUAAAAUUUUAAGUACACUGAGCAACAUAGAGUUUAGACAUUGUGUAGUUUUAUAAAUUGUCUGCUUCUUGUGAUAAGCUAAAUCUUUUUUCUUGUCUGUUGAGAGUAUCUGUCCUGUCUAAAAAGUAGGAUAAUUAUUUAGCU